UGAACAGCUUGAGGUAUGCUAUUGAUAGUUGAACUUUAAUUUCUGUCUUGCAGUUUGGAGUUAUCUUAACUUUUACGUAAGUUGAAUUGAGGCUAUAUUUAACACAACACAACACAGCACAGCACACAACAGUUUCUUCUUCUUCAUCAUAUGUUUAACAUUUUGGCAUGGAUUCCUUGCUUUUUGAAAACCGGAAUUCAUCAAUUUAGCCUGUGAUUCAAUUAUUCCAUUUGCUGUUUUUCUAGGGCUCUUCAAUGAAAACUUACAUUUGUUGUGGUUCUUAACAUGCUUCCCUUACCCAUGAUGACAGCUAAUUCUUCCAUAAGCUUUCAUGGUGCAUUUUCUACAUUUUUCUCAACUGAUAUCAUAUUCUGCCAAAAACUGGUUAACAUAUUGUAAUCAAGAUUUUAUGAAGUGAAGAUCACUAUUACAAAUUUAGCUUCUCAUUACCAGGUUUGAGAGGAGCUUAAUGGUAAACGGCGGUAUGGGCCCUUUUUUUUCCAGGAUAUCUAAAUAUAUGUGCAAAUGCAACAUAUGCAUGCAUGGUUUCCACAAUUUCAGUUUUUUGAUACGUAGUGAUAUUGAUGUUAUUUUUUCGCAACAGAUUCAGAGAAAUUUACAGUUGAGGAUCGAGGAACAGGGGAGGUAUCUUCAAAUGAUGUUUGAGAAACAAAAAAAGAUGGAGGAUGACAAGUCCAAAGCUUCUUCCUCCUCCUUGGAUGAUUCCUCCCUCCCAGAGUCAAACAUAUCUGGUAAUAAUAAAUUGGAAGUCUCAGAGCUGGAUCAUCCCAAUAAUGUGUUUGACAGAAACGAUGGUGGUGUAGCACUGGAAGAAAGUUCCCAAAGUGUAAGCAGAAAGCAUAAGGCACUGGAAAACAGAACUGGCGAGGAUCUUAACUCAAAAGACAAUGAAUCUAGUCCAGCAUCAGCAAAGCGACCAAGGGCAGAUGAAACAACAAUAUAAUCAACGUCCUGCAUUUGAUUGAACAUUUUAUACAAGUCAUGUAUUGCUGCUCCUGGAUAUGAUGUUUUAGGUUCUGUGCUUGUGAUGAGAGGCAUAAUAGUUGUGGAAGCAGGGAAAUUUUGGAACUUAAAUUCUUGCCUUUAUUUUCCAUAAAGCUAAGAAUCAAAAGAUCCAAAAUAAAUUUACUAACUUGUGACCUUUCCAUUCUAGGGUUGAAUUUGCAUUAGGAACUGUUGCUAGAAGGUGGAGUUUGUAUAUGAUUGUGCAUUGUUAGACUUUUAGAGAAUUUUGUAAUUUCCAAUUGAAUAAUGAAUUUCUUCAACUUUCACUAUCGUAUGUGUUGAGGAAUUUCAGAUAGAAUUGAG
Molecule: unclassified non-coding RNA, 1329 nt
Filed under: Hevea brasiliensis (rubber tree)
Lineage: Eukaryota; Viridiplantae; Streptophyta; Magnoliopsida; Malpighiales; Euphorbiaceae
Source: RNAcentral